AAUUCGAUGCAACGCGAAGAACCUUACCUGGUCUUGACAUCCCGGAGACCCUUAGGAAACUAGGGGUGCUCCAUCUGGAAGAAUCUGGAGACAGGUGCUGCAUGGCUGUCGUCAGCUCGUGUCGUGAGAUGUUGGGUUAAGUCCCGCAACGAGCGCAACCCUUGCCUUUAGUUGCCAGCAGUUCGGCUGGGCACUCUAAAGGGACUGCCGGUGUUAAACCGGAGGAAGGUGGGGAUGACGUCAAGUCCUCAUGGCCUUUAUGACCAGGGCUACACACGUACUACAAUGGCCGAUACAAAGGGCAGCGACACUGCGAGGUGAAGCCAAUCCCGUAAAAUCGGUCUCAGUCCGGAUUGGAGUCUGCAACUCGACUCCAUGAAGUUGGAAUCGCUAGUAAUCGUGGAUCAGCAUGCCACGGUGAAUACGUUCCCGGGCCUU
RNAcentral lists this ribosomal RNA (438 nucleotides) under uncultured Desulfobulbus sp. RNAcentral's name for it is "bacterial SSU rRNA". It matches the Rfam family "Bacterial small subunit ribosomal RNA", at positions 948 to 1382 of the family's 1533-position model. The record is from RNAcentral. Lineage: Bacteria; Pseudomonadati; Thermodesulfobacteriota; Desulfobulbia; Desulfobulbales; Desulfobulbaceae.